CAUAUUCAAUGUAGACAAAUUCUCUUUUAAUUAUAAUAAAUCUAUAUCUAAAUAUUCAGAAUCACCCGAUACUACAUGCAGGACUCCAUCAAUUUCGUUACCAUAGCCUUUUCUCGUGGGAGCGAAGACAAUUUCACCACUAAGUAAUCUACAAUUUUCUAGUGG
Molecule: non-coding RNA, 165 nt
Organism: Populus trichocarpa (black cottonwood)
Lineage: Eukaryota; Viridiplantae; Streptophyta; Magnoliopsida; Malpighiales; Salicaceae
Source: Rfam